RNAcentral lists this ribosomal RNA (440 nucleotides) under uncultured bacterium. RNAcentral's name for it is "partial 16S ribosomal RNA". It matches the Rfam family "Bacterial small subunit ribosomal RNA", at positions 338 to 795 of the family's 1533-position model. The record is from RNAcentral.
CCUACGGGAGGCAGCAGUAGGGAAUAUUGCUCAAUGGGGGAAACCCUGAAGCAGCAACGCCGCGUGGAGGAUGAAGGUCCUCGGCUUGUAAACUCCUUUUGGUAGAGAAGAUAAUGACGGUAUCUAAAGAAUAAGCACCGGCUAACUCCGUGCCAGCAGCCGCGGUAAUACGGAGGGUGCAAGCGUUACUCGGAAUCACUGGGCGUAAAGAGCGCGUAGGCGGGGUAGCAAGUCAGAUGUGAAAUCCUAUGGCUUAACCAUAGAACUGCAUUUGAAACUGUUUGGCUAGAGUAUGGGAGGGGUAGGUGGAAUUCUUGGUGUAGGGGUAAAAUCCGUAGAGAUCAAGAGGAAUACUGAUUGCGAAGGCGACCUGCUGGAACGUAACUGACGUUGAUGCGCGAAAGCGUGGGGAGCAAACAGGAUUAGAUACCCGAGUAGUC